Molecule: ribosomal RNA, 318 nt
Filed under: uncultured bacterium
Lineage: Bacteria
Description: partial 16S ribosomal RNA
Rfam family: Bacterial small subunit ribosomal RNA
Source: RNAcentral
GAAUGAACGUUGGCGGCGUGGAUUAGGCAUGCAAGUCGAGCGGUAGGGAACCUCUCACUCAUGCUCUCUUUGAACGGGGUCGAGGACGACCCGGCUCGCGAGCCGGCCCCGACUGAGAGAGUUGCGUGAGGGGUUCCUGAGAGCGGCGAAAGGGAGAGUAACGCGUAGUUACCGUACCCCGAGGACCGGAAUAGCCACGGGAAACUGUGGGUAAUGCCGGAUAACAUCUUCGGAUCAAAGGUGUGACUUCCGCCUCGGGAGCGGACUGCGUUGUACUAGCUUGUUGGUAGGGUAAUGGCCUACCAAGGCGAUGAUGCA